AACUGAAACACGGUCCAUACACCUACGGGUGGCAGCAGUAGGGAAUAUUGCACAAUGGGCGAAAGCCUGAUGCAGCAACGCCGCGUGCACGAUGAAGGCCUUCGGGUCGUAAAGUGCUUUUCUGGGAGAUGAGAAAGGACAGUAUCCCAGGAAUAAGUCUCGGCUAACUACGUGCCAGCAGCCGCGGUAAAACGUAGGAGGCGAGCGUUAUCCGGAUUCACUGGGCGUAAAGCGCGUGCAGGUGGCCUAGUAAGUUAGGCGUGAAAUCUCCCGGCUCAACUGGGAGAGGUCGUCUAAUACUACCGGGCUAGAGAACAGAAGAGGAAGAUGGAAUUCCCGGUGUAGUGGUGAAAUGCGUAGAUAUCGGGAGGAACACCAGUGGCGAAGGCGAUCUUCUGGUCUGUUUCUGACACUCAGACGCGACAGCUAGGGUAGUAAACGGGAUUAGAGACCCCGGUAAUCCUAGCCGUAAACGAUGUGAACUUGGCGUUGGUGGGUUAAACUCCAUCAGUGCCGAAGCAAACGCGAUAAGUUCACCGCCUGGGGACUACGGCCGCAAGGUUA
This 564-nucleotide ribosomal RNA is filed under the name uncultured bacterium. RNAcentral describes it as "bacterial SSU rRNA". It matches the Rfam family "Bacterial small subunit ribosomal RNA", at positions 317 to 896 of the family's 1533-position model. The record is from RNAcentral.